CAUUUUUCUUCCUCAUGACCUCUUCAACUUCAAUAUGGGACAAUGUUCUUACUCAAACCUUUGCAUGUUUUCAUCUUGAUUGCUAAUUAAUGAUUUGUUGAAAGGAUUUGCUCAAAGCCUUUUGAUGAAAGCAUCCAUGAACAUCUCUUUGUCAGGAGUGUGGAUAUGCACCGUAGUAUCAUAAAAAUGAUUGAGGUAUUCUUUAAGGGGUCUCAUUAUCCCUUUGGUGAAUGUCGAAGAGAUCUGCAACCUUUGGGGGUUCCAUAACAUUUAAUGUAAAUUUAUCAGGGAACCUUUAUGAAAACUUCAGGAAGGAGGAAUAAUUCCAUCUAGGAUAUUGCUAAACCAUUACAAUGCAAUUCCUGAAAGGGUUAUGCAAACAUUUUAUAUCAGACAACAUUCAAUCUUCAAAAAAUCAUCAUUUGAGGUCAGAAAACUUAGAAAUGCUCUUCGAUUCAUAUACCCUGCAAAAUAUGUGAUCUUUGACAACAUGUAGUUGGUGACAUUGGCUUGUCUAGAAUGUGUUGAGAGAAAGGUUGGGUGUCAGGAAAAACUAUAAAAAAAUUCGACCAACCUUUCUCUGGCUAGUUAUUUGUUGUCGUAGCAUAUGCUAUAACUCGACAUUAACUUUUAACAUUUCUUCAUGGGCUCUCAAGACCUCUUCCAUUUGACGUUUAGAUUCUUUGGUUUCCCAUCAGAGAGCUUCCCUCUUGAUUUGAUCUUCUUCUGCUCAUCAUGGAGCCAUAUUGUUCUUUUGUCACAAAUCCUACAUAAUCUAAAGGAUUUGCUAGAGGGUGGAAGUGUCGUUUUCUGUUUUUGGUUGGGUCAUUUGUUUGUGAUUCCUUGUUUGGAUUAGAGAAGAGUGGGUAACAAAAGGUUGGUGGUGAGAAAAGUUUUACAUUGCCCCACGUAAACGUCAAUGUUCUGGUUAAGAAACGACCAAAGGAAAAUCCUUCUUUUGCCAUGUGUGUUAGUGUAUUGGUGUUUAUUGCCACUUGAGUCUUUUUGGCUAGGUGCCCCAUAUAUUUAUUGGAAAAUUGUGAUUGACAUAACAUCUUUUGGAAAUGUUUGGAGAGGUCCUUGGAUACUAGAAAAACAACCUAGCAUGAAUAUGCAUGAAUAUGGGGAUGAAAGGUGAAAUAUUGUUUUGUUUGUUGACAACAAAAUAAUGGUCUAAAAAUUCCGCUAACAAACUCCAAAAGACACCCUUUGAGACCCCAAAGAUUACUCUUCAAGUGAUCAUAUCAAUUAUGAAUUUAUUAUUGUAUUAUCGACCUUAUACUGGUUUUNNNNNNNNNNNNNNNNNNNNNNNNNNNNNNNNNNNNNNNNNNNNNNNNNNNNNNNNNNNNNNNNNNNNNNNNNNNNNNNNNNNNNNNNNNNNNNNNNNNNAAAGUAAAAUUAAUAUUUUUUUAGAAGAAAAAUUGUUUGGAUUUUUUAAAAUUCAACCCUAAAUAAUUAGAUUGAGUUUUAAAUCCAAAUUCAUGUUUUGAAAAAUAAAAUAGUUUUAAUGUUUAUAAAUUAGUUUGAUAUAUCUUAAAAUUGAUAUUUUCAAAAUUGGUUUCAAAUAUAAAAUAAUUUUAAGACAUUAUAUAUUUUUAAGAAUGAUUUUACAAUAAAAAUUUGUUAAAAUUUUUCAUAUUUUAUAAAAUGCGAUUAAUUAACAAUUUUAAAAACAAAUAAGUUUUUGGUAUUCAGUAAAUGUUUCCUAUAGAUGUAUACUUGUAUUAGUAUCUAUUUUUUCAUCUUCAUAUGGCUAAUAAUUAAGGAUAUAUUUUUUCAAACCAUAUUUUUAUAUUUUUAAUUAAUAUUUAUUUAAAUAAAUAGUGUCUAUACAUGUGAGUUUCAUAUAAGGACAUUUUACACUAGAUAUCGUUGUUUUAUAUUUUUUUUAUCAAAUCAUAUAUUCAUAUUAACUAUUAUUCUGUUAAAUCAUGUUUGGUGUCCAAUAAACAUUUAUCCUUCACUUUAAAAUAUUUUAUAUUAAGAUUCAAACUAAGAAAAUAUACGAUUUUAAAAAUUGAUAUCAAACUAACUUAUAAAUAUCUAAACUAUUUUCUUAUAUAAAAUAUGGAUUUAUAUUCCAUUCAAUUAUUUGAAUUUGAAUCUAUAAAAAAAAACAAAACUAGAUGUUUUUACAAGAUAUAAAUUUAGUUACAAUCCAAAUAAUUUGGAUUUAAAAUAACAAUACAAGAAGAAUAAUUUAUUAAGAAUUAUAACGAAUUUACAAAUGUACAAAUGCAUGCGAGUAAAUCAUAGUUAUAUCAAUCAAUGCAAUAAAUUUACUGGUUUAAAAUGCACUAAAUAACAGCAAUAAAACAUAGAUUUUAUGUCAUAACUAAUAUUGUUAUGAAGGAAAUGAAUAAAAGCACAACCUCAAUCAAAUUCAACUCAACUAUCAUAAAACAAAAAUAUUACAAAAUUUAUAAUCAAAAUCAAAAGUAGUUCUUCUCCAUCCAUAAUUGAUAGCAUCCCAAGCAAUACUAAUAAAAAAUGUAUUACGUACCAAACUUUUAAGAAUGUAAUGAAAAUCUUCAAAAUAUUAAUUAAAAAUUGCACUGAUUGAUAGAAUACUAUUUCUCAAAAGAUGAUAUAAGUGAAAAGUAAAAUAAUAUUAACAAUUGUAGUAAAGAACUUAAAAGUAAAAAGAUUUUAGAGUAAAAUUUAAAUUAUUCUAUAUGUAAUUUUAAUAAGAUAUAAUUACUUUAUAUUUUGUUGUAUUCUUAAAAUUAAAAAAUAUGAGAAAUUGGAUGAUAAAUUGGGAGAAAAAUAGGAAGAAACGAGAGAAUCUAGAAAAGAUUAAGAAGAUGAAAAGAAGAAAUAAGAAGAGAAGGAAAAACAUGAAAAAGAAAAUUGUACCAAAGAGCUAAAACUUUCCACAAUAUAUAAAAGAUAUGAAACAGUGAUAAAAUAUUAAUAUUUAUAAUAAUAAAUAAAUAAAUAUAGAAUAACUGCUCAUUUAAUAUCAGAACCCAUCAUUUAAAAGAAUAUUCUAUGUAAAUUAUGAAACACUGUUUCUUCCAUAUAUCUCAACUUGCAUCAAACAUUUUUUACGGUCAAUAGCUUACAUUAAAUCUAAGCCAAAAAAAUAUAUAGUACAUUUAGUAAAAGAUAUAUUAAAAAAAUUAAUAUAUUUUAAAUAAAGAGAUAACACCAAAAUUUUAACAAAAAAUUAAAGUGAGCUCUUUUCAAAAAGUUUGAGCUUAACAUUAAAUAUUUAUACAAGAAAAUCAUGAAAUAAUGAAAUAGAAACCAAUUUUAGAAAUAGAAAUUAAUUAGUUGUUAUAGUAACUAAAUUAAAAAUAUUUUAGAAAGUAAAUAAUUUUUUGGUUUUUAAAUUAAUUUUUAUUAUUGUUAAAUAAUUUUUAAAUUGGUAUUUAAUUAGCGACUAAGGUUUUUAAAUGAUAUUUAAAUUGGUAUCUAUAUUAUUUAUAGAAUUUUCCAUCUUUUGUAGUAUAGUAAUAAAUUUACUGUAUAUUUUUCUUUUUUAGGUAUAAAAAAACUGUAUAAAGUUAUUGUGAAAAAGAGUGUAUUUUUGUGAAAUUGUAUAGAAGAUAUUUUGUUUAGAAGUAAAAGCAGAAAGUGGUGUUAUGAAGAUUCCAAAAUAAUGAAAAAUGGUCCUACUCUUACCUCUACCAACUUGCCCUUUACUUUCACCAUUCUUCACUAAUAUCCUAUUCUAUCAUCAAAUAAAAUAUCUUUUAUCAUCCAUUACAACUACAACAACCUUUAAUUCCUCAUACAUCAACAAGAACCAAAGAUGCACAUAAACAUCAUUGUUUUAGUGUUAGUGCCAAAUUUUUCUUCUGACCACUUACAUGAAAUCUAAAAUAUAAUUAAGAAUCAAAUAAAAAUAUAAAAUUUUCAUCAAGUAUUUAUCAGUUCAAAAGAAAAUAUUUGAUACUCAGUCAAAAUUCAAUUAUGAUUUCAUCCACUUGAUCUCUGUGAAGAGAUAAUUGACAUCAUCUUUUGAAAUAUUAUUUAUCGCCAAUUCUUUCAUUAGAAAUCGAACUUUUCGAGUGUGACUCGGCCCACUUAACUUACAUCAAAGGAUAAUUGUGCAACUCGCAAUAAUCUUUUUGUGAAUAAUUGUCUAAACUAGUAGUGACGUUGACUUUAACAACAAUAGUUAGAUUCAACACUUAUCACUAAACUAAAAGUUAUAAUUGAUAAUUAAGAUGUAACUAUUUAUAACUAAAAGUAUAUUCGUCUAAACGUGACGAUUCAAUUAUAAUUAGUGUUACCUAUAACAUAAAAUAUUUUAAAAAAAUAAAAAUAUGUAUUAUAUUAUAUUAUGAUAGAUUAUUUAGUGAUUGAAUAAUAAGUAGACCUAUUAAGUAUCAAUAACAAAGUAAUUUUUUUUAUUCAUGACUAACUAUAACCUAUAUUGAUCCAAUAGCCUAAAAAGUUUACAAUGUAUAAUCAAAUAUCAGCUAAUUAUUUCACAAACUUUUUCCUAAAAUAAAAAUAUCACAAACUUUUAUUUGUUAUGAAGAGAAGAUUGGGUAUAGAGAAUUUUAAAGUUUAAUAAUUUUUAUUAAGGUGUCAUAAAUUAUGACUUUAGAUGACAAAAUAAAUAAUAUAUUGUCUAAUAAUAUUGAUGUUUAGUUUCUUUGAUAUUACAACCAUAAAGGAUCAAAGUCAAAAGUACACUUAAGCAAAUUUAUCACGUGUCAAGCAAACACUUUAGUUCUCAUGUUAUCAAAUAGUUAACAUAAGAAAAUCGAUAAAGAUACUAAUGACCUCAUUUUUGUAAUUAAAAGUUAAGAAAAAAAUUAAAACUAAAUAAUUAUGAUGUUUAGAUACCAUAGAUGAAAGUAAAACUUGAAAGUUUUGUACUUUUAAUGGAUAAUUGAAUCUUGACAUGAAUAUGCAGAAGUAAAUAGAUAAUUUAAAGUUGGUAUAUUCUCAGUAUAAAAUAUCUAAUCUAAUUAAUUAAUUAAAAAAAUUCCAAAUAUAGUUUUUAAAAAGAUUAUUACGAAAAAUAAUGAUUUUAAUUAUAUGAUAAAAAUUUAUAUUUAAAUGAUAAAUUUUAUAUUAUCUACAUAUUUUCAUUAAAAUCAUAUAACAUUAUAAAUAAAUGAUAAAACAUGUUAAGAUCUAUGAAUAAAUUACUAAUAUUUUUAAAAUGUUAUUCUAUCUUUAAGUGGUAAAAAUACUCUAAUAAACUAAAAAAUUAUAUCAAUACUCUAGAUAAAUUUACUAUCAAUGAAAUCAUAAAUAAAUUUAUAUAAAACGAAAUCACGUGUGAAUGAAUGAUGCACAAAAUUUAUAUAAAAAAAAAUCAAAACAUUACUUUCAAUUUACAUUACAAUAGUCUCUUUUCUUUGUAUUAAGAAUAAAAAAUCAAUUUAAUUUUAAUAUUUUUAAAAAGUUUAAUAUGCUCUUAAUUUUUUUUUCAAAAUAAUUCAAUAUAAUUCUUUUUAUUACAUUGUUGUUAUUAAAACAUAUUUAUUUCAACAACCCUACUAAUACAUAUUGAAAUAUAUGUGUUGUUACCAUAAAUUAAUACUAUAAUAUUUAAUUAUUUUUAAAAAGUUGAGAUCACAUUAAAUUGACCAAAUUAAAUUAUUUUAAAAAAAAUUAGAGCGACAUUAAACUUUUAAAAUUCGAUGAAUAAAAAUUAUUUUUUACCUUUAAUGUUGGGAAAAAAUAAUUAAAUGUAUUAUUUAAUAUAAAAGUUUGAACUUAAAUUUUGAAGUAUAUGUAGAAAAUGAAGAAAAAGUGUUUAAUUUGUAAGAUUGGAUGGAAAGGAAGAGCAAAAGAUGAAAUGAAUGAAUUUUGAUUUUUGUGAAGAAGUUGAAAGGAAAGGAAUGGUAUUAAGAGAAGUUUCCAAGUCAAAAUGAAUGCAACCAAUGGAAGAGGAAAGAUUCUCAACUAAUUGCCAUCACUGUAGCCAUGCAAUAGAUAUUUUCAUUUUUAUAUUACAUAAUUCUUUUUAAUUAGUUGACUUUCUAUACAAAUAUUUUAUUCAAAUUUGAUGGAAGAAGUGAGUAUAAAACCUAACAAGAAUCAACUCUCAUUCUACUAAGCAAACCAAACACUGUGUAGAGACACAUUCAAAUUCUAAGUCUUCACUCUGGAAGAACCACAACCACUAACUUUAAAUAAAUAUCAUAAAAAUUAUCAAAUAUUUUCUCAUCAAAGACAAUAACUUUACACAUAAAAUUAAUAUAUAUAUUUAUAUUAAAAACAAUUCAUGCAAGUGGGGUUGAUGUGUCACAUGGGGAUAGCUUUUUCCUUUCAACAUUUACUCUCAUUUAAUAUAUAUAUAUAUAUAUAUAUAUAUAUAACCUUGUUAUUUUUCAUGUAUUUAGUUUAAUUUAAACUUUUCAAGUACGAUGUAAAAUCCAGCAAUGUUGUGAUUUAAUAAACAAUAUGGCAAAUCACUAAUCAAUCGAGAAAUGAUGGAUAUAGGAGUGAAGAGGAAAACAUAUUUUAAAAGGGAUUUUUCAACAUUUUUUUAUAAAUUUCACGAAAUUCAUUUCAUAUUAUUUAGUAUUUUCCAUUAAAAUUUGCUGACAAUUCAUUUCAUUUAGUUUAAGUAAGAAAACAUUUUCUUAUAUUUUUUAAACAACAGUAUAUUAGAUAUUAACAUUUUAAAAUAAUUCAAACUUUGAUUAUACAUUUUAAUUUUAUAAUUUUCAAUAAUAAUUAAUCAUUCAAUAUCUUAAGCAUUAUAUAUACACACACAUAAAAGAUCAUCUUUAGGAGUUAUAAAAAAAUAUAUAGUUUUACAAACUUUACCUUCAAACAAAAAUAUUUCUAACGAUUCUUCUUAAUCUAUUUUUUUUUUCAAUUUAUUAUUUUCAGUUUUCUUUCAAAAUAAAAUAUUAAAAUUUAAAAAAAAACUUUGUAUAUGUAUCGACUUCUAAUUACAAUCAUCAUAUAUUUAUAUAUUCAUUUUUUAUUUAUUAUAAAUAAAUAAAAAAUUGUAUAUUAAAAAGAUUACAAUAUUAUUGUGUAGUUAUGAAUAAUAAAUUUGAAUUAAAAUCCAAAAUCUAACUAAAAUUCCAAGCUUGACUUUUAAAUUAUUAACUAUAUAUUUUUUAAAUUAUUCUUAUAUCUGCACACUAAUAUACUAAUUCAUUAGAAUCAUAAUUAACAAAUAUAAAAAUUUCCAAAAAUUUAAAUAAAAUUUAUAUAAAGUAAAUUUUUAAUUAAGAAAAAUAAAAUUAAAAAAUAUUAAAAUGUGUAAUCUUAAUAUAUAUGUAUAUAUUAUCAUUAUAGAAAUACACGGGAUGAUAACUUCUUUUAACUUUUUUUAAUAUCUUUUAAUUUGAUUUAAUAAAUAAAAAUAAUUUAUUUAUUUAAUAAAAUAAAUAAUGGAAGAAGUUUUCUUUAAUUUAAAAUAAUUAAAUAAUUUCUUCUUUUGAAAAUAACAAUUAUAUAAUUUUUUAAUUAUUUUUAAAAAUUAUAUCUAUUUUCAAAUUAUAUUUUUUAAUUUUAAAUUAAUUAUUAAUAGAAAUAAUGAAAUUAUAAAAAUCUAAAUACACGUCGGCAUAAUCAGUUUUUGCUAGUAAAAAUUAAAAAAGAUUUUGAAAUUUGAAUAACAGUCCAAGUCAGAAGGGAGCACGUGCCUGAUACCAAAACAACGGUCCAGAUCAUGGAGCACUCAUCGAAUCCAAGGGUUCCAAUUCAUCCAUGUGAACUCACACUUAUCGACUAACAACGGUCUACGGUGUGCCACGUGUUCUCGAGAUAGAGCGUUAUUAACCCUUCUGAUCCAACGGACCCUGCUCAUUACCUCCCAAACAAACACUUCCGUUCCGUUUUACCUUUCCCCAACCCGCCGGAGGCGCCGUCACCCUCCGCCGGCCACCGUAUUCAUCUCUACCAAUACACCCACUUAGACUUCCACACAAAAUUAUACGAUUCAGUGAUUUCAUUUCUUGAAAUUUUCGUUUCAACAGCGCUUCAAUUUGACGCAGAACCGCUUCGUGUCUCGGAUUUGUAACUUCUCAUUCAUUCCGAAUCGAAUUUGAAUUUUUGAAGGAAAAUUCAUGAAAUCUCAGUUCCAUAGGAGCUUCUAGUACAAACAGUGCCUCACUUCCACGCAGAACAACCAACUCAAAUCGAUUCUUGACUCAGGAUUUUCAACUCUUCGUUCAUUCCGGAACGAGUUUGAAAGUUCGAGGUAAACCGCACCAAGCACUCUGAAUAAGUUUCUGCUGAGAACAGCAAUUCAAUUUCACGUGAAAUAGAGUCAAAGCCAUUUGUGGUUCGGAGUCACAGUUCAAAUCCAUGUCCAAUUGACCUUCAAACUCCGAAGAAAACCGCACUGAAAGACUGAAUUUCAUACACGGAACAGCGAUAAGUACUUCAGAUUCUCGUGGAGCGAGUCAAAGAGAUUCAAAUUGAGUCGGCGAACUCGUCCACGGUGAACUCUGAUAUUUUCCUACACUGAUUUCGUGAUUCAUUUCAUCUUUUCUCAGCGAUUCUUCGAACCUCGCUGUUCAUUGAUGGCGGACUCCGACAACGACUCCGGCGGCACGCACAACGCCGGCAAGGGCAGCGAGAUGUCGCCACGGGAGCAGGACCGGUUUCUA
RNAcentral lists this long non-coding RNA (8546 nucleotides) under Phaseolus vulgaris (common bean). Its description in RNAcentral is "long non-coding RNA (PVUL_LNC002627)". Lineage: Eukaryota; Viridiplantae; Streptophyta; Magnoliopsida; Fabales; Fabaceae. The record is from RNAcentral.